Molecule: ribosomal RNA, 468 nt
Filed under: uncultured bacterium
Lineage: Bacteria
Description: partial 16S ribosomal RNA
Rfam family: Bacterial small subunit ribosomal RNA
Source: RNAcentral
GACGAACGCUGGCGGCGUGCUUAACACAUGCAAGUCGAACGGAAAGGCCCUGCUUUUGUGGGGUGCUCGAGUGGCGAACGGGUGAGUAACACGUGAGUAACCUGCCCUUGACUUUGGGAUAACUUCAGGAAACUGGGGCUAAUACCUGAUAGGAGCUCCUGCUGCAUGGUGGGGGUUGGAAAGUUUCGGCGGAUGUGGAUGGACUUGCGGCUUAUCAGCUUGUUGGUGGGGUAGUGGCCUACGAAGGCUUUGAUGGCUAGCCGGCCUGGGAGGGUGACCGGCCACAUUGGGACUGAGAUACGGACCAGACUCCUACGGGAGGCAGCAGUGGAGAAUAUUGCACAGUGGGCGGAAGCCUGAUGCAGCAACGCCGCGUGCGGGAUGACGGCCUUCUGGUUGUAAACCGCUUUCGCCUGUGACGAAGCGUGAGUGACGGUAAUGGGUAAAGAAGCACCGGCUAACUACGUG